UAAAAAGCGUUGAUGAGAAGGAGUAAAAACGUGUAACCGUUCAGAGAGAGAACCAUUAGCUGGAAGGUUCUUCGGUAGCCGUUUUGAACGUCGUCUCUGAGCUGCUAUAGCCGGGUCAUACCCGUUAUCAAUGUCGAGUGUCCUAAGAUUGCGUUUUUCUUUCUUGGGAAAUUCAGGUGGUAACGCGGAAAAAGCCUUUCGUCCUGAAG
This 209-nucleotide non-coding RNA is filed under the name Alicyclobacillus sp. RNAcentral's name for it is "T-box sequence". It matches the Rfam family "T-box leader". From Rfam's summary of the family: Uncharged tRNA acts as the effector for transcription antitermination of genes in the T-box leader family. T-boxes are found upstream of many aminoacyl-tRNA synthetase genes and some amino acid biosynthetic genes usually in Gram-positive bacteria. The anticodon of a specific tRNA base pairs to a specifier sequence within the T-box motif, and the NCCA acceptor tail of the tRNA base pairs to a conserved bulge in the T-box antiterminator hairpin. Lineage: Bacteria; Bacillati; Bacillota; Bacilli; Caryophanales; Alicyclobacillaceae. The record is from RNAcentral.